AACGAACGCUGGCGGCAUGCCUAACACAUGCAAGUCGAACGAGACCUUCGGGUCUAGUGGCGCACGGGUGCGUAACGCGUGGGAACCUGCCCUUAGGUUCGGAAUAACUCCCCGAAAGGGGUGCUAAUACCGGAUAAUGUCUUCGGACCAAAGAUUUAUCGCCUUUGGAUGUGCCCGCGUUGGAUUAGCUAGUUGGUAGGGUAAAAGCCUACUAAGGCGACGAUCCAUAGCUGGUCUGAGAGGAUGAUCCGUCACACUGGGACUGAGACACGGCAGAGAAUCCUACGGGAGGGAGCAGUGGGGAAUAUUGGACAAUGGGCGAAAGGCUGAUCCAGCAAUGCCGGGUGAGUGAUGAAGGCAGUAGGGUUGUAAAGCUCUUUUACCCGGGAUGAUAAUGACAGUACCGGGAGAAUAAGCUCCGGCUAACUCCGUG
This 433-nucleotide ribosomal RNA is filed under the name uncultured bacterium. RNAcentral's name for it is "partial 16S ribosomal RNA". It matches the Rfam family "Bacterial small subunit ribosomal RNA", at positions 29 to 507 of the family's 1533-position model. The record is from RNAcentral.